This 1151-nucleotide ribosomal RNA is filed under the name Campylobacter jejuni. RNAcentral describes it as "partial 23S ribosomal RNA". It matches the Rfam family "Bacterial large subunit ribosomal RNA", at positions 17 to 1188 of the family's 2925-position model. The record is from RNAcentral. Lineage: Bacteria; Pseudomonadati; Campylobacterota; Epsilonproteobacteria; Campylobacterales; Campylobacteraceae.
GCGAAUGGUGGAUGCCUUGACUGGUAAAGGCGAUGAAGGACGUACUAGACUGCGAUAAGCUACGGGGAGCUGUCAAGAAGCUUUGAUCCGUAGAUUUCCGAAUGGGGCAACCCAAUGUAUAGAGAUAUACAUUACCUAUAUAGGAGCGAACGAGGGGAAUUGAAACAUCUUAGUACUCUCAGGAAAAGAAAUCAAUAGAGAUUGCGUCAGUAGCGGCGAGCGAAAGCGCAAGAGGGCAAACCCAGUGCUUGCACUGGGGGUUGUAGGACUGCAAUGUGCAAGAGCUGAGUUUAGCAGAACAUUCUGGAAAGUAUAGCCAUAGAGGGUGAUAGUCCCGUAUGCGAAAAACAAAGCUUAGCUAGCAGUAUCCUGAGUAGGGCGGGACACGAGAAAUCCUGUCUGAAUCCGGGUCGACCACGAUCCAACCCUAAAUACUAAUACCAGAUCGAUAGUGCACAAGUACCGUGAGGGAAAGGUGAAAAGAACUGAGGUGAUCAGAGUGAAAUAGAACCUGAAACCAUUUGCUUACAAUCAUUCAGAGCCCUAUGUAGCAAUACAGGGUGAUGGACUGCCUUUUGCAUAAUGAGCCUGCGAGUUGUGGUGUCUGGCAAGGUUAAGCAAACGCGAAGCCGUAGCGAAAGCGAGUCUGAAUAGGGCGCUUAGUCAGAUGCUGCAGACCCGAAACGAAGUGAUCUAUCCAUGAGCAAGUUGAAGCUAGUGUAAGAACUAGUGGAGGACUGAACCCAUAGGCGUUGAAAAGCCCCGGGAUGACUUGUGGAUAGGGGUGAAAGGCCAAUCAAACUUCGUGAUAGCUGGUUCUCUCCGAAAUAUAUUUAGGUAUAGCGUUGUGUCGUAAUAUAAGGGGGUAGAGCACUGAAUGGGCUAGGGCAUACACCAAUGUACCAAACCCUAUCAAACUCCGAAUACCUUAUAUGUAAUCACAGCAGUCAGGCGGCGAGUGAUAAAAUCCGUCGUCAAGAGGGAAACAACCCAGACUACCAGCUAAGGUCCCUAAAUCUUACUUAAGUGGAAAACGAUGUGAAGUUACUUAAACAACCAGGAGGUUGGCUUAGAAGCAGCCAUCCUUUAAAGAAAGCGUAAUAGCUCACUGGUCUAGUGAUUUUGCGCGGAAAAUAUAACGGGGCUAAAGU